RNAcentral lists this ribosomal RNA (802 nucleotides) under uncultured crenarchaeote. RNAcentral's name for it is "bacterial SSU rRNA". It matches the Rfam family "Archaeal small subunit ribosomal RNA", at positions 48 to 859 of the family's 1478-position model. The record is from RNAcentral. Lineage: Archaea; Thermoproteati; Thermoproteota.
GCCAUGCGAGUCACAUAGCAAUAUGUGGCAUACGGCUCAGUAACACGUAGUCAACAUGCCCAGGGGACGUGGAUAACCUCGGGAAACUGAGGAUAAACCGCGAUAGGUCAUUUCUUCUGGAAUGGGUAAUGACCCAAAUCUACAUGGCCCCUGGAUUGGACUGCGGCCGAUCAGGCUGUUGGUGAGGUAAUGGCCCACCAAACCUGUAACCGGUACGGGCUCUGAGAGGAGGAGCCCGGAGAUGGGCACUGAGACAAGGGCCCAGGCCCUAUGGGGCGCAGCAGGCGCGAAACCUCUGCAAUAGGCGAAAGCUUGACAGGGUUACUCUGAGUGAUUUCCGUUAAGGAGAUCUUUUGGCACCUCUAAAAAUGGUGCAGAAUAAGGGGUGGGCAAGUCUGGUGUCAGCCGCCGCGGUAAUACCAGCACCCCGAGUGGUCGGGACGUUUAUUGGGCCUAAAGCAUCCGUAGCCGGUUCUACAAGUCUUCCGUUAAAUCCACCUGCUUAACAGAUGGGCUGCGGAAGAUACUAUAGAGCUAGGAGGCGGGAGAGGCAAGCGGUACUCGAUGGGUAGGGGUAAAAUCCGUUGAUCCAUUGAAGACCACCAGUGGCGAAGGCGGCUUGCCAGAACGCGCUCGACGGUGAGGGAUGAAAGCUGGGGGAGCAAACCGGAUUAGAUACCCGGGUAGUCCCAGCUGUAAACGAUGCAGACUCGGUGAUGAGUUGGCUUAUUGCUAACUCAGUGCCGCAGGGAAGCCGUUAAGUUUGCCGCCUGGGGAGUACGGUCGCAAGACUGAAACUUAA